GAUGAACGCUAGCGAUAGGCUUAACACAUGCAAGUCGAGGGGCAGCAUGGUCUUAGCUUGCUAAGACUGAUGGCGACCGGCGCACGGGUGCGUAACGCGUAUGCAACUUGCCUCACAGAGGGGGAUAACCCGUCGAAAGACGGACUAAUACCGCGUACACUCCAUCUUGGGCAUCCAAGGUAGAGGAAAUGAAUUUCGCUGUGAGAUAGGCAUGCGUCCCAUUAGCUAGUUGGUGAGGUAACGGCUCACCAAGGCGACGAUGGGUAGGGGAACUGAGAGGUUGAACCCCCACACUGGUACUGAGACACGGACCAGACUCCUACGGGAGGCAGCAGUGAGGAAUAUUGGUCAAUGGGCGAGAGCCUGAACCAGCCAAGUCGCGUGAAGGAUGACUGUCUUAUGGAUUGUAAACUUCUUUUAUACGGGAAUAACAAGAGUCACGUGUGGCUCCCUGCAUGACCGAUGAUAAGCUCGCA
RNAcentral lists this ribosomal RNA (476 nucleotides) under Porphyromonas sp. oral taxon 279. RNAcentral's name for it is "bacterial SSU rRNA". It matches the Rfam family "Bacterial small subunit ribosomal RNA", at positions 28 to 495 of the family's 1533-position model. Lineage: Bacteria; Pseudomonadati; Bacteroidota; Bacteroidia; Bacteroidales; Porphyromonadaceae. The record is from RNAcentral.